RNAcentral lists this ribosomal RNA (446 nucleotides) under uncultured bacterium. Its description in RNAcentral is "bacterial SSU rRNA". It matches the Rfam family "Bacterial small subunit ribosomal RNA", at positions 83 to 525 of the family's 1533-position model. The record is from RNAcentral.
CCCUGGUGGCGAGUGGCGAACGGGUGAGUAAUAUAUCGGAACAUAUCCGGAAGUGGGGGAUAACGUACCGAAAGGUACGCUAAUACCGCAUAUGCCCUGAGGGGGAAAGGAGGGGAUCGUAAGACCUUUCGCUUUCGGAGUGGCCGAUAUCGGAUUAGCUAGUUGGUGAGGUAAAGGCUCACCAAGGCGACGAUCCGUAGCUGGUCUGAGAGGACGACCAGCCACACUGGAACUGAGACACGGUCCAGACUCCUACGGGAGGCAGCAGUGGGGAAUUUUGGACAAUGGGGGAAACCCUGAUCCAGCCAUGCCGCGUGAGUGAAGAAGGCCUUCGGGUUGUAAAGCUCUUUCAGCCGGAAAGAAAGCGCACAGGUUAAUACCUUGUGUGGAUGACGGUACCGGAAGAAGAAGCACCGGCUAACUACGUGCCAGCAGCCGCGGUAAUA